This 1321-nucleotide ribosomal RNA is filed under the name Brevilegnia gracilis. RNAcentral's name for it is "eukaryotic LSU rRNA". It matches the Rfam family "Eukaryotic large subunit ribosomal RNA", at positions 26 to 1155 of the family's 3401-position model. The record is from RNAcentral. Lineage: Eukaryota; Oomycota; Saprolegniomycetes; Saprolegniales; Achlyaceae.
CGCUGAACUUUAGCAUAUUAAUAAGCGGAGGAAAAGAAACUAACCAGGAUUCCCCUAGUAACGGCGAGUGAAGCGGGAAGAGCUCAAGCUUAAAAUCUCUAUGCAAGUUUUGCAUGGCGAAUUGUAGUCUAUAGAGGCGCUGUCAGUGCAGCUAUUUGGGAUAAGUUCCUUGGAAGAGGACAGCAUCGAGGGUGAUACUCCCGUUUGUGCCUGAGUAGCUUGUGCGUACGACACGUUUUCUUUGAGUCGCGUUGUUUGGGACUGCAGCGCAAAGUAGGUGGUAAAUUCCAUCUAAAGCUAAAUAUUGGUGCGAGACCGAUAGCGAACAAGUACCGUGAGGGAAAGAUGAAAAGAACUUUGAAAAGAGAGUUAAAGAGUACCUGAAACUGCUGAAAGGGAAGCGAAUCGUAUCCAGUGUCUAUAAUCUGUAGCAUAUUUCAUUGGCGAGUAGGUGCGUGCAGUAUGUAAGAAGUGGUUUUCUGCUCUUUGUGCUGUUCUGCGUUUGCUUGUUGGUGCCCUGUGUUGCGGUGGGACGUCAGAGUCAGUUCGUAUGCUGUGAGAAAUGGCUACUGAGGAGGUAGGUUAGGAGCUUGCUCUUGGCUGUUAUAUCUUGGUAGUUAGUUGUCGUGGUUGGGACUGAGGUGCCUACAAUGUGCUUUAAAGUGUUUGGGACUCUCGUUUGGUUACCUGUUUGGAUAGCUUGCUAUGCUGACGGAGUGAUUGGUCGAUUGAGAUCUAGAGUAACUUUUGCCGUUCGGGACUUUGACGAAAUGGAGCGAUUCGGCCCGUCUUGAAACACGGACCAAGGAGUCUAACAUGUGUGCAAGUGUUAGGGUGUGGAAACCCCAGCGCGAAAUGAAAGUAAAGGAUGGCGUACGCUGUCUGAGGUAGGAAACCUUUCUUCUGAGAGGUGGCACUAUCGACCGAUCAUGAACCCUCGUGGUGAAAGAUUUGAGUUUGAGCACAUAUGUUGGUACCCGAAAGAUGGUGAACUAUGCCUGAGUAGGGUGAAGCCAGGGGAAACUCUGGUGGAAGCUCGUAGCGAUUCUGACGUGCAAAUCGAUCGUCAAACUUGGGUAUAGGGGCGAAAGACUAAUCGAACCAUCUAGUAGCUGGUUCCCUCCGAAAUUUCCCUCAGGAUAGCAGCAACUUAUUUACGAUAGUUUUAUGAGGUAAAGCGAAUGAUUAGAGGUCUGGGGGAAGAAACUUCCUUCGCCUAUUCUCAAACUUUAAAUCUGUAAGACCUGCAGGUUUCUUAAUUGAACUUGUGGAUGUGAAUAUCAAGUUGCUAGUGGGCCAUACCGGGUAAGCUGGUCUGGCG